This is a long non-coding RNA of Cercocebus atys (sooty mangabey), 452 nucleotides long. RefSeq lists it as uncharacterized. NCBI's taxonomy places the organism in Eukaryota, Metazoa, Chordata, Mammalia, Primates, Cercopithecidae. The record is from RefSeq and is a predicted model, not a curated record. The transcript has 2 exons.
GCCCCGCCCUAUCCAGGUGCGCCCCGUGCCCCUCACUGUUCCAGUCUCUCUGCUCAGCGUCCUUCGCCAGGUGCUUCCCGGGCACUUAGCACAUUGCCCUCAAGGAACGCUUACCGAAUUGAACAUAACCGAAAGGACCCCAGGAUUUGGAGCCAUUCCUGUGCUCAUUGGAAGUAGGAGAUGGGACAGUGGAGACACUGCAGUUCACGGGGCAGAUGCUCCACUGUAAAGGUGAGGCUUCUCACACUAUUUGUGGUGAAGACUGGACUUCUGAGCUCUGACCACUGGGUGGUCCUGCUGUGCAUGACCAGAAAACAACCUCUGCCACAAGUGACUUCUUGGAGACGUCCACGUCACCCACACUGGUCUAUAUUCUGUUCAGUGAAUCAAGGCCAUGGACCAUGUGCCUGAAUGUUGUGGUAAUGCCCAGCUGCUAUAAAAGUUUCCAAGCA